Molecule: small nuclear RNA, 164 nt
Filed under: Neogale vison (American mink)
Lineage: Eukaryota; Metazoa; Chordata; Mammalia; Carnivora; Mustelidae
Description: Neovison vison (American mink) U1 spliceosomal RNA (ENSNVIG00000013649.1)
Rfam family: U1 spliceosomal RNA
About the family: U1 is a small nuclear RNA (snRNA) component of the spliceosome (involved in pre-mRNA splicing). Its 5' end forms complementary base pairs with the 5' splice junction, thus defining the 5' donor site of an intron.
Source: Rfam by way of RNAcentral
AUACUUACCUGGCAGGGGAGAUACCAUGAUCACGAAGGUGGUUUUCCCAGGGCGAGGCUUAUCCAUUGCACUCCGGGUGUGCUGACCCCUGCGAUUUCCCCAAAUGUGGGAAACUCGACUGCAUAAUUUGUGGUAGUGGGGGACUGCGUUCGCGCUCUCCCCUG